Molecule: ribosomal RNA, 253 nt
Filed under: uncultured bacterium
Lineage: Bacteria
Description: partial 16S ribosomal RNA
Rfam family: Bacterial small subunit ribosomal RNA
Source: RNAcentral
UACGGAGGGUGCGAGCGUUGUCCGGAAUCACUGGGCGUAAAGGGCGCGUAGGUGGCUCGUGAAGCGUGCGGUGAAAGUCCGAGGCUCAACCUCGGAUCGGCCGUGCGGACUCGCGGGCUCGAGCGUUGUAGAGGCGGGUGGAAUUCCGGGUGUAGCGGUGGAAUGCGUAGAGAUCCGGAAGAACACCCGUGGCUAAGGCGGCUCUCUAGUACGGUACUGACGCUGAGACGCGAAAGCGUGGGGAGCGAACAGG